CCUACGGGAGGCAGCAGUGAGGAAUAUUGGUCAAUGGGCUUACGCCUGAACCAGCCAAGUCGCGUGAGGGAAGACUGCCCUAUGGGUUGUAAACCUCUUUUGUCAGGGAGCAACGCCGGCUACGUGUAGCCGGACUGAGAGUACCUGAAGAAAAGGCAUCGGAGAACUCCGUGCCAGCAGCGGCGGUAAUACGGAGGAUGCGAGCGUUAUCCGGAUUUAUUGGGUUAAAAGGGUGCGCAGGCGGAAUGCCAAGUCAGCGGUAAAAUCGCGGGGCUCAACCUCGCUCCGCCGUUGAAACUGGCGUGCUUGAGUGGGCGAGAAGUAGGCGGAAUGCGUGGUGUAGCGGUGAAAUGCAUAGAUAUCACGCAGAACUCCGAUUGCGAAGGCAGCAUACCGGCGCCCAACUGACGCUGAAGCACGAAAGCGUGGGUAUCGAACAGGAUUAGAUACCCCAGUAGUC
RNAcentral lists this ribosomal RNA (460 nucleotides) under uncultured bacterium. RNAcentral's name for it is "partial 16S ribosomal RNA". It matches the Rfam family "Bacterial small subunit ribosomal RNA", at positions 338 to 795 of the family's 1533-position model. The record is from RNAcentral.